UACGUAGGCAGCAAGCGUUGUUCGGAAUUACUGGGCGUAAAGAGUGUGUAGGUGGUGCUCCAAGUCUGUUGUGAAAUCUCCCGGCUUAACUGGGAGGGUGCGGCGGAUACUGGAGUGCUUGAGGAUGGGAGAGGAAAGCGGAAUUCCUGGUGUAGCGGUGAAAUGCGUAGAUAUCAGGAGGAACACCCGUGGUGUAGACAGCUUUCUGGACCAUUUCUGACACUGAGACACGAAAGCGUGGGUAGCAAACAGG
Molecule: ribosomal RNA, 253 nt
Filed under: uncultured bacterium
Lineage: Bacteria
Description: partial 16S ribosomal RNA
Rfam family: Bacterial small subunit ribosomal RNA
Source: RNAcentral